GAAACAUUUCAUGCACGAAAGCACAUUGUGCCCUAUGAGAUUUACAACAGUCAGCCACGCUUCGUGAAGUUGUUAUCGUGUCGUUGGCACACUAUUCAGAUCAACGUUGCACGCGGCAGAGGACGAGAUCAUACUUUUUUUCUUCCUCCUAGUCAACUUGUUGAUUGAUUGAUUCACUCAGUGUUGGUUUACACACUAUAUGUAGCCUCCACACGCUGCCCUGACAUAUCACAGGAAUGAGGGACGUCCAUUGAUGUGCACACAUUGUUGAACGAAGCUGAAGGGGAAGUAUGUGUGGGAAGACAUGAUCCGUUGAUUAAAAAGUUGUUGGACAUCUGCUUAAUUUGAGACCUUGUUGUAGUAGACAUAAUUUACACAGUAUGUAUGGAUGAUUUGUGUUAUUUCAUACCUAAACUUUUAUGAAUAUCAUCCGGUUUGCAUGAAUUGCAUCUGUUUGUUAAAAUGCGGACUGAAAUGUAUGCGACUAGAGUUGGAUGUUGUCGUCCCACAUCCGUGUGCGCGAGCUGGCCCCCCUUGUCCGCGGACGAAUGCGGGAAGAAAUUUGCGGCUUACUGUUGAAGAUUCCCUUAGGGCGGCUUUGUGUUGUUCAUAUUGGACGUAGCCGCAGGUCGUUCUCCCGCUCGGGAAGCUACGGGACCAUCUACAACCAUCGAUUCCUGCCGCCGGCUGCUGAUCCCCACUGCAGCCAUGGAUUCCCACUGCCGGCUGCAGAUCGACCCACCACGUCCGAAGUCCUUGUCACCACGAACGUCCAAAGGCCUUGUCAGAUCGAGCCGCCGGCUGCUGGGGCAUCAAUCCGCCAGUGUUCGUCCCGAUUUGGCCGGCUCUCGCACGACAGCUCCCUCUUCCGACCUGCACACCCGGUGGCGAAAAACAUAUUAUAGAGCAUAGGCUUAUGCAUUUAUGCAUCGUGAUUCGUACAAACACUUUUUUUUGGUUUCUCCCACAUGAUACAACAUUUGAACAUCCAACGUUGCAGCACUACAAAACAUUCUAACUAGAAUGCAGAAAAAAAUUCUAACUAGAUAAAGUCGUAGCAUCGACUUUAGAUGAUUUCAGGUUUUAUCUAAAAGUAAUAAAUACUUAAAUAUACAACUACAUAUUUAUACAUAUCAUUGUCUCUCUUUAAAAACUUGCAUUAUAAAAACUUACUUGAAAUUACACAAUAAUGUUAAGAUCGAACAUUUCCUAGCCCAUGCAGAUGCACGGGUUUAUGACUAGUAUUCAUUACGGGAAUCCUGUACAUUGUGAAAAAUAAUAAUGUGUUGGUCUUUGAUACAGAUUGCAACUCUCUUGGGAUUAGAUGAUAUACAUUAGUUUGGGUGUGAUUGAUUAAGAGUUCUUCAGUAUCCAUGCAUGCAUGCAGUAGCAGUUUAACGGGAUGUUCAAAAAGAGUUCUCGUGCAGAAGUGACCAGUCCUAGCUGAUUGUAAAAUAGUGUUUUCGAAAAGCAGAAAAUAGCUACUUGUUUCAUGUAGAAUCCUCCAAGUUUCAUGUAGAGGUGUCCAUGUAGUGUAGUCCAAGCUUCUCGAUGACCAAAUUCGAUUGCCUAUUGAUAAAAAUACACGUGUAGAAAAGAUGCCUACCCGUUUCUUUUGCACAACAUGAAAUAACAUAAUUUGUGUUAGAGUUGUGUCGAAUAUUGUAUACAAGGUAGGUUACAGUUGGACUUGUGGUUGUAUUGUGUUUAGGCAGGAUAUG
Molecule: long non-coding RNA, 1721 nt
Filed under: Hordeum vulgare
Lineage: Eukaryota; Viridiplantae; Streptophyta; Magnoliopsida; Poales; Poaceae
Description: long non-coding RNA (HVUL_LNC011357)
Source: RNAcentral